GAUGAACGCUGGCGGCGUGCCUAAUACAUGCAAGUCGAGCGAACAGACGAGGAGCUUGCUCCUCUGACGUUAGCGGCAGACGGGUGAGUAACACGUGGAUAACCUACCUAUAAGACUGGGAUAACUUCGGGAAACCGGAGCUAAUACCGGAUAAUAUAUUGAACCGCAUGGUUCAAUAGUGAAAGACGGUUUUGCUGUCACUUAUAGAUGGAUCCGCGCCGCAUUAGCUAGUUGGUAAGGUAACGGCUUACCAAGGCAACGAUGCGUAGCCGACCUGAGAGGGUGAUCGGCCACACUGGGACUGAGACACGGUCCAGACUCCUACGGGAGGCAGCAGUAGGGAAUCUUCCGCAAUGGGCGAAAGCCUGACGGAGCAACGCCGCGUGAGUGAUGAAGGUCUUCGGAUCGUAAAACUCUGUUAUUAGGGAAGAACAAAUGUGUAAGUAACUAUGCACGUCUUGACGGUACCUAAUCAGAAAGCCACGGCUAACUACGUG
Molecule: ribosomal RNA, 497 nt
Filed under: uncultured bacterium
Lineage: Bacteria
Description: partial 16S ribosomal RNA
Rfam family: Bacterial small subunit ribosomal RNA
Source: RNAcentral